UUCCUGCUCACGUUGCUGUAGAUCUCCUUGAUUACGAUCUCGAAAGCUGUCCUCACGUUUGUCGAGUCCAGAGCAGAGGUCUCCAUGAAGAACAGCCCUUCAGCUUCAGCAAGUGCUUUGCCUUCCUCUACCGGCACUUCACGGAUAUUAUCCAGAUCACACUUGUUGCCCACCAACAUCUUGGCUACAGAGGAGGAGUGUAUACUGUUGAGUUCUUGGAGCCAGCGACCGACGUUGUCGAAGGUGGAGCGGCGGGAGAUGUCGUAGACGAGGAGGGCGCCGAAGGCGCCGCGGUAGUAGGCGGAGGUGACGGCGCGGAAGCGCUCCUGGCCGGCGGUGUCCCAGAUCUGGGCCUUGACGUCCUUGCCGUUGAUGUCCAUGCUCUGCGUCUGGAACUCGACGCCGAUGGUGGCCUUGGAGUGGAGAUUGAACUCGUUGCGGGCGUAGCGGGACAGCAGGUUGCUCUUCCCCACCGCGCUGUCCCCGAUGAUCACCACCUUGAACAGGUACUCCUCCGUCUCCCCCUCCGACUCGUCCCCCAUCCCUCCCUCCCCUCCGGAAUGCGAAUGAGCUCGAGCUCGCCGCGGCGAGG
RNAcentral lists this small RNA (592 nucleotides) under Oryza sativa Japonica Group (Japanese rice). RNAcentral describes it as "sRNA Os08g0525050". Lineage: Eukaryota; Viridiplantae; Streptophyta; Magnoliopsida; Poales; Poaceae. The record is from RNAcentral.